AGUGCGCCGCUCCGCCCCGCCCCCACCCCAUGGAGGGGCGCGGCCAGGUGCGGUGGAAAUCUCCCAAGGUGUGCGGCUGUCUAAGAGGCGGGACUGGCGUUCGGGUCUUUGAGCUCCGGCUGUGGCGGGGGCCAGGUCCCUGCACCCUCCGUAUGGGACGUCGUGAGAGCGAACCCGGCAGGGCUGCGAGGCGACGCCGACGCUCCUGGCUAACGCGACCUGCUGCAGCCUGGUUCCUCGUCCAGCCCUUCUGGCGGCCCCGGAGUGUCGGAGUCCCGAGAGUGAACUGGUAUCACGUACUGAGCGAGGAGGACACCACCGAGAGCCACGUGUGCGGUAGUCUGUCGCAGUCUGGAAAUGCGGCAGCGCCUGGUGAGCAGCCCUUCUCCCGGGGACCCAAAGGUGACCCGCCUGAAGGGACACGGGUUUCUAAACCUACCUUGAUCGCUACUCGUCAUGUAGUUCAAGCUGGACCUGACAUCUCUCUCUAGCCCUGGCGGGCCCCGAACUCGUGGGCAUCCUCCUGUUUCAGCGUCCUGGGUACUGGGAUUACAGAGAGAAACAUUAUAUUUGCUGGGAACUGAAAUUUGGGUCUCUCCUCUCCUGGAUGUCCGGUUUUCCUGUGAAGAUUGGUGCUGAUGUUUAUUUCCCCUUGAAAGCAGAAUUUCUUCCAGUACUGUGGUCCCUGUAAGAGUGCCAGACCAGCCACCAGCCUGCAGACCCACAGGGGCAACAGCUUCUCAAACCUCCAAGACUUACAGCUCAAUAUUUUGCACAUUUUAAAAAAAUUUUAGUGCCAGGGAGAUGGUUCAGUGGCAUAAGUGCCUGCCUGUCAAGCCCAAG
Molecule: long non-coding RNA, 843 nt
Organism: Octodon degus (degu)
Lineage: Eukaryota; Metazoa; Chordata; Mammalia; Rodentia; Octodontidae
Exons: 3
Source: RefSeq, a predicted model, not a curated record